UACGAAGGGGGCUAGCGUUGUUCGGAAUUACUGGGCGUAAAGCGCGCGCAGGCGGCUAUCCAAGUCAGUGGUGAAAGCCCGGAGCUCAACUCCGGAACUGCCAUUGAAACUGUUUAGCUUGAGGAUGAGAGAGGUGAGUGGAAUUCCUAGUGUAGAGGUGAAAUUCGUAGAUAUUGGGAAGAACACCGGUGGCGAAGGCGGCUCACUGGCUCAUUACUGACGCUCAGGCGCGAUAGCGUGGGGAUCAAACAGG
Molecule: ribosomal RNA, 253 nt
Filed under: uncultured bacterium
Lineage: Bacteria
Description: partial 16S ribosomal RNA
Rfam family: Bacterial small subunit ribosomal RNA
Source: RNAcentral